Calliphora vicina (urban bluebottle blowfly) is the source of this 666-nucleotide long non-coding RNA. RefSeq lists it as uncharacterized. The record is from RefSeq and is a predicted model, not a curated record. The transcript is spliced from 3 exons. NCBI's taxonomy places the organism in Eukaryota, Metazoa, Arthropoda, Insecta, Diptera, Calliphoridae.
AUUGAAAUAAAAUAAUAAAAUCGUCAAGGCGUUUAUUUACAAAAAAUAAAAAACAAAUAAUUUUAAACCAAAUAUAUUGCAAAAUAAAAAGGAAUUUAAAGAAGAUAAAAGCAAAUAAAAUGAUAGAAAAUCAAAUGAACAAAAGUCCGAUGAAAGUUGAGGGCGAAUUUGAAAAGGAAUUACUACGUUCAUACUUGGUCAUGUAGUGUCCAAGUCGCUUUUUUUUCUACAACUAUUUUUAGAUUGGUUGCUGCCGAAAAUUAUAGAGGAACGAAAUAAGAAAAUGGACAAUAUUACUAUUUGGGAGUUCCUCAAUUUUGAUGACAGGGACCUUAUCGCGGUACGAUCGAAAUUAUCUAUAUUGCCAUUAUUAAUCGGAUACAAUUAUGUGUAUGGAGUUAUAUAUAUUUUGCGCCUUAUCGUACGAGUAUUAUUGUCAACAGCUCCCCUGAAUUACAUUUAAAUUGUUAAUUUUUGUUAUAAUAACUGUUAAUUGUUAUGUAAUUUUUUUGUAUUUUCGCCUAUGUUCUGUAAAAUGAAAAAGUUUGUCAUAGAAUUUAUCUGUUUUCCAUUAAUUUGAGGAUACUUUAAGUUCCAUUUCAAACAUUUUGGUUUUAUAGAACAUAGAAAGAUUAAUUUGUUAUUUUUUGUUAAAAUGAUUGUUAA